Non-coding RNA from Podarcis lilfordi (Lilford's wall lizard), 71 nucleotides. The record is from the annotation of a GenBank genome assembly. Lineage: Eukaryota; Metazoa; Chordata; Lepidosauria; Squamata; Lacertidae.
GGGCUAUUGCUCAGUGGUAGAACAUCUGUUUUGUAUGCAGAUGGUCCCAGGUUCGAUCCCUGACAUUUCCU